Molecule: ribosomal RNA, 135 nt
Filed under: Agaricus augustus
Lineage: Eukaryota; Fungi; Basidiomycota; Agaricomycetes; Agaricales; Agaricaceae
Description: 5.8S ribosomal RNA
Rfam family: 5.8S ribosomal RNA
About the family: 5.8S ribosomal RNA (5.8S rRNA) is a component of the large subunit of the eukaryotic ribosome. It is transcribed by RNA polymerase I as part of the 45S precursor that also contains 18S and 28S rRNA. Functionally, it is thought that 5.8S rRNA may be involved in ribosome translocation.
Source: RNAcentral
CAUCGAUGAAGAACGCAGCGAAAUGCGAUAAGUAAUGUGAAUUGCAGAAUUCAGUGAAUCAUCGAAUCUUUGAACGCAUCUUGCGCUCCUUGGUAUUCCGAGGAGCAUGCCUGUUUGAGUGUCAUUAAAUUCUCA